AGAGUUUGAUCAUGGCUCAGAACGAACGCUGGCGGCGCGCCUAAUACAUGCAAGUCGAACGAGAAUGUGUAGCAAUACACAUGUACAGUGGCGAACGGGUGAGGACUACAUGGGUAACCUACCCUCGAGUGGGGAAUAACUAGCCGAAAGGUUAGCUAAUACCGCGUACGCUUCCCGGACUGCGGUUCGGGAAGGAAAGCGAUACCGUGGGUAUCGCGCUCUUGGAUGGGCUCAUGCCCUAUCAGCUUGUUGGUGAGGUAACGGCUCACCAAGGCUUCGACGGGUAGCUGAUCUGAGAGGAUGAUCAGCCACACUGGCACUGCGACACGGGCCAGACUCCUACGGGAGGCAGCAGUAAGGAAUAUUGCGCAAUGGGCGAAAGCCUGACGCAGCGACGCCGCGUGGGGGAUGAAGGUCUUCGGAUUGUAAACCCCUUUCGGGAGGGAAGAUGGGAUGGGGUAACCCAUUCGGACGGUACCUCCAGAAGCAGCCACGGCUAACUUCGUGCCAGCCGCCGCGGUAAUAC
This 526-nucleotide ribosomal RNA is filed under the name uncultured bacterium. RNAcentral's name for it is "bacterial SSU rRNA". It matches the Rfam family "Bacterial small subunit ribosomal RNA", at positions 8 to 526 of the family's 1533-position model. The record is from RNAcentral.